CCUACGGGAGGCAGCAGUAGGGAAUAUUGCUCAAUGGGGGAAACCCUGAAGCAGCCAAGUAGCGUGUAGGAUGACGGCCCUACGGGUUGUAAACUGCUUUUAUACGGGAAUAACGCGCCUUACGUGUAGGGCUUUGCAUGUACCGUAUGAAUAAGGACCGGCUAAUUCCGUGCCAGCAGCCGCGGUAAUACUGAAGGUCCGGGCGUUUUCCGGAUUUAUUGGGUUUAAAGGGGGCGUAGGCCGCAUGUCAAGCGUGCUGUGAAAUUUCUGGGCUCAACCCGGGCCUUGCAGUGCCAACUGGCGUGCUUGAGUCCGCGGAAAGCAGGCGGAAUUCGUCGUGUAGCGGUGAAAUGCUUAGAUAUGACGAAGAACCCCGAUUGCGAAGGCAGCUUGCUGCAGCGGAACUGACGCUGAUGCUCGAAAGCGCGGGUAUCGAACAGGAUUAGAUACCCUUGUAGUC
This 460-nucleotide ribosomal RNA is filed under the name uncultured bacterium. RNAcentral's name for it is "partial 16S ribosomal RNA". It matches the Rfam family "Bacterial small subunit ribosomal RNA", at positions 338 to 795 of the family's 1533-position model. The record is from RNAcentral.